RNAcentral lists this ribosomal RNA (349 nucleotides) under Darevskia valentini. RNAcentral's name for it is "partial 12S ribosomal RNA". The record is from RNAcentral. RNAcentral also lists the same sequence under 1 other name. Lineage: Eukaryota; Metazoa; Chordata; Lepidosauria; Squamata; Lacertidae.
ACUACAAGUGAAAAACUUAAAACUCAAAGGACUUGACGGUGUCCCAUAUCGACCUAGAGGAGCCUGUCCUAUAAUCGAUACCCCCCGCUCCACCCAACCCCAACUAGCAUACGUCAGCCUAUAUACCGCCGUCGAUCAGCCUACCCUAUGAAAGUCCAACAGUAGACACAAUAGCCCCACCGCUAAUACGUCAGGUCAAGGUGUAGCAAAUGUUGUGGAAGAGAUUGGCUACAUUUUUUAUUAUAAAAAAUACGAAAUAUACCAUGAAACAGUAUAUGAAGGUGAAUUUAGUAGUAAAAUAAACAAGAGUGUUUAUUUUAACAACGCUCUGGGACGCGUACACACCGCC